This 253-nucleotide ribosomal RNA is filed under the name uncultured bacterium. RNAcentral describes it as "partial 16S ribosomal RNA". It matches the Rfam family "Bacterial small subunit ribosomal RNA", at positions 524 to 776 of the family's 1533-position model. The record is from RNAcentral.
UACGUAGGGAGCAAGCGUUGUCCGGAUCUACUGGGUGUAAAGGGUGCGUAGGCGGCCCUGCAAGUCAGAAGUGAAAUCCAUGGGCUUAACCCGUGAACUGCUUUUGAAACUGUAGGGCUUGAGUGAAGUAGAGGCAGGCGGAAUUCCCGGUGUAGCGGUGAAAUGCGUAGAGAUCGGGAGGAACACCAGUGGCGAAGGCGGCCUGCUGGGCUUUAACUGACGCUGAAGCACGAAAGCGUGGGUAGCAAACAGG